Molecule: unclassified non-coding RNA, 170 nt
Filed under: uncultured Alternaria
Lineage: Eukaryota; Fungi; Ascomycota; Dothideomycetes; Pleosporales; Pleosporaceae
Description: sequence contains ITS1
Source: RNAcentral
CACAAAUAUGAAGGCGGGCUGGCACCUCUCGGGGUGGCCAGCCUUGCUGAAUUAUUCACCCGUGUCUUUUGCGUACUUCUUGUUUCCUUGGUGGGCUCGCCCACCACAAGGACCAACCCAUAAAACCUUUUUUGUAAUGGCAAUCAGCGUCAGUAACAACAUAAUAAUUA